This 210-nucleotide long non-coding RNA is filed under the name Elaeis guineensis (African oil palm). RNAcentral describes it as "long non-coding RNA (EGUI_LNC031317)". The record is from RNAcentral. Lineage: Eukaryota; Viridiplantae; Streptophyta; Magnoliopsida; Arecales; Arecaceae.
CUCUUUGGGCAUAAGGUCUAGGGUAGGUUCUAGGGUUUUUCAGCUCUAGAUUUUUGUGUGAGAAAAAUUCAAGAGGGUUUUGAUCCAAUCUUCCACACCAUCUCCUCCUUGUAAAGAUCUAUCUUCUAAUUCAAAAAAAUUUAGGUGAUCCAAAGAAAGAAGCUUGAAUCAGCCAUCCAGAUCUUUUGACAAGAGCUAGCACUCCCGGGA